ACUGUUCAGUAACACGUGGAUAACCUGCCCUAUGGUGGAGAAUAACCCCGGGAAACUGGGGAUAAUACUCCAUAGAUUAGAGAUACUGGAAUGUUCUUUAAUCGAAAGUUGAGGCGCCAUAGGAUGGAUCUGCGGUCGAUUAGGUUGUUGUUGGGGUAACGGCCCAACAAGCCUGUAAUCGAUACGGGUUGUGGGAGCAAGAGCCCGGAGAUGGAAUCUGAGACACGAUUCCAGGCCCUACGGGGCGCAGCAGGCGCGAAAACUUUACAAUGCAGGAAACUGUGAUAAGGGAACCCCGAGUGCCCGUAUACGCGGGCUGUCCAGGUGUCUAAAAAGCAUCUGAAGAAAGGGCCGGGCAAGACCGGUGCCAGCCGCCGCGGUAAUACCGGCGGCUCGAGUGGUGGCCACUAUUAUUGGGCUUAAAGCGUCCGUAGCUGGACUCUUAAGUCUCUUGGGAAAUCCGCCGGUUUAACCGACGGGCGUCUAAGAGAUACUGAGAGUCUAGGGACCGGGAGAGGUGAGAGGUACUCCGGGGGUAGGAGUGAAAUCCUGUAAUCCCUGGGGGACCACCGAUGGCGAAGGCAUCUCACCAGAACGGCUCCGACAGUGAGGGACGAAAGCUGGGGGAGCGAACCGGAUUAGAUACCCGGGUAGUCCCAGCCGUAAACUAUGCGCGUUAGGUGUACUGGUGACCACGAGUCACUGGGGUGCCGAAGGGAAACCGUGAAACGUGCCGCCUGGGAAGUACGGUCGCAAGGCUGAAACUUAAAGGAAUUGGCGGGGGAGCAC
Molecule: ribosomal RNA, 789 nt
Filed under: uncultured archaeon
Lineage: Archaea
Description: bacterial SSU rRNA
Rfam family: Archaeal small subunit ribosomal RNA
Source: RNAcentral